GAUGAACGCUGACAGAAUGCUUAACACAUGCAAGUCCACUUGAACUUCGGUUUGGGUGGCGGACGGGUGAGUAACGCGUACAGAACUUGCCUCACAGAUAGGGACAACAUUUGGAAACGAAUGCUAAUACCUGAUAUUAUGAUUUUAGGGCAUCCUAGGAUUAUGAAAGCUAUAUGCGCUGUGAGAGAGCUUUGCGUCCCAUUAGCUAGUUGGAGAGGUAACGGCUCACCAAGGCGAUGAUGGGUAGCCGGCCUGAGAGGGUGAUCGGCCACAAGGGGACUGAGACACGGCCCUUACUCCUACGGGAGGCAGCAGUGGGGAAUAUUGGACAAUGGACCAAGAGUCUGAUCCAGCAAUUCUGUGUGCACGAUGAAGUUUUUCGGAAUGUAAAGUGCUUUCAGUUGGGAAGAAAAAAAUGACGGUACCAACAGAAGAAGUGACGGCUAAAUACGUG
Molecule: ribosomal RNA, 454 nt
Filed under: uncultured bacterium
Lineage: Bacteria
Description: partial 16S ribosomal RNA
Rfam family: Bacterial small subunit ribosomal RNA
Source: RNAcentral